GCGUUGAUGGUUCAGUGGUAGAAUUCCUGCCUGCCACAUGGGAGACCUGGGUUCAGUUCCCGGUCAACCCA
This 71-nucleotide transfer RNA is filed under the name Loxodonta africana (African savanna elephant). It matches the Rfam family "tRNA". From Rfam's summary of the family: Transfer RNA (tRNA) molecules are approximately 80 nucleotides in length. Their secondary structure includes four short double-helical elements and three loops (D, anti-codon, and T loops). Lineage: Eukaryota; Metazoa; Chordata; Mammalia; Proboscidea; Elephantidae. The record is from Rfam by way of RNAcentral.